This 42-nucleotide ribosomal RNA is filed under the name Colletotrichum acutatum. RNAcentral describes it as "partial 28S ribosomal RNA". Lineage: Eukaryota; Fungi; Ascomycota; Sordariomycetes; Glomerellales; Glomerellaceae. The record is from RNAcentral.
GGUUGACCUCGGAUCAGGUAGGAAUACCCGCUGAACUUAAGC